Small nuclear RNA from Ailuropoda melanoleuca (giant panda), 104 nucleotides. NCBI's taxonomy places the organism in Eukaryota, Metazoa, Chordata, Mammalia, Carnivora, Ursidae. The record is from Ensembl.
GUGCUGGCUUGGACGGCGCAUACACUAAAAUUGGAACAAUACAGAGAUUAGCACGCUCCCUGUACAAGGAUGACACGCAAAUUUGUGAAGGGCUCCAUAUUUAA